AACGAACGCUGGCGGCAGGCUUAACACAUGCAAGUCGAACGCCCCGCAAGGGGAGUGGCAGACGGGUGAGUAACGCGUGGGAAUCUACCGUGCCCUACGGAACAACAGUUGGAAACGACUGCUAAUACCGUAUACGCCCUACGGGGGAAAGAUUUAUCGGGGUAUGAUGAGCCCGCGUUGGAUUAGCUAGUUGGUGGGGUAAAGGCCUACCAAGGCGACGAUCCAUAGCUGGUCUGAGAGGAUGAUCAGCCACAUUGGGACUGAGACACGGCCCAAUCUCCUACGGGAGGCAGCAGUGGGGAAUAUUGGACAAUGGGCGCAAGCCUGAUCCAGCCAUGCCGCGUGAGUGAUGAAGGUCUUAGGAUUGUAAAGCUCUUUCACCGACGAAGAUAAUGACGGUAGUCGAAGAAGAAGCCCCGGCUAACUUCGUGCCAGCCGCCGCCGUAA
Molecule: ribosomal RNA, 447 nt
Filed under: uncultured bacterium
Lineage: Bacteria
Description: partial 16S ribosomal RNA
Rfam family: Bacterial small subunit ribosomal RNA
Source: RNAcentral